This 449-nucleotide ribosomal RNA is filed under the name uncultured bacterium. RNAcentral's name for it is "partial 16S ribosomal RNA". It matches the Rfam family "Bacterial small subunit ribosomal RNA", at positions 29 to 523 of the family's 1533-position model. The record is from RNAcentral.
AACGAACGCUGGCGGCAGGCUUAACACAUGCAAGUCGAACGCAUCCUUCGGGGUGAGUGGCAGACGGGUGAGUAACGCGUGGGAACGUGCCCUUCAGUUCGGGAUAACCCAGGGGAACUUGGGCUAAUACCGGAUACGUGCGAGAGCAGAAAGAUUUAUCGCUGAAGGAUCGGCCCGCGUCUGAUUAGCUAGUCGGUGGGGUAAUGGCCCACCAAGGCGACGAUCAGUAGCUGGUCUGAGAGGAUGAUCAGCCACAUUGGGACUGAGACACGGCCCAAACUCCUACGGGAGGCAGCAGUGGGGAAUAUUGGACAAUGGGCGCAAGCUUGAUCCAGCCAUGCCGCGUGAGUGAUGAAGGCCUUAGGGUUGUAAAGCUCUUUCGUCCGGGACGAUAAUGACGGUACCGGAAGAAGAAGCCCCGGCUAACUUCGUGCCAGCCGCCGCCGUAA